RNAcentral lists this ribosomal RNA (118 nucleotides) under Periophthalmus magnuspinnatus. Lineage: Eukaryota; Metazoa; Chordata; Actinopteri; Gobiiformes; Gobiidae. The record is from RNAcentral.
AAUACCAGCCAUACCUGCUUGUCAAAGCCUGAUGUCGUCACAUCUCAGAAGCUAAGGAAGGCUGGGCCUGGUUAGUACUUGUAUUGGAGAACGCAGCGAAUAUCAGCUGCCACAGUUU